UGGGGAAUAUUGCACAAUGGGCGAAAGCCUGAUGCAGCGACGCCGCGUGGAGGAUGACGGCCUUCGGGUUGUAAACUCCUUUCAGUAGGGACGAAGCGAAAGUGACGGUACCUAUAGAAGAAGCACCGGCCAACUACGUGCCAGCAGCCGCGGUAAUACGUAGGGUGCAAGCGUUGUCCGGAAUUACUGGGCGUAAAGAGCUCGUAGGCGGUUUGUCGCGUCGUCUGUGAAAACCAGCAGCUCAACUGUUGGCUUGCAGGCGAUACGGGCAGACUUGAGUAUUUCAGGGGAGACUGGAAUUCCUGGUGUAGCGGUGAAAUGCGCAGAUAUCAGGAGGAACACCGGUGGCGAAGGCGGGUCUCUGGGAAAUAACUGACGCUGAGGAGCGAAAGCGUGGGUAGCGAACAGG
This 409-nucleotide ribosomal RNA is filed under the name uncultured bacterium. RNAcentral's name for it is "bacterial SSU rRNA". It matches the Rfam family "Bacterial small subunit ribosomal RNA", at positions 355 to 776 of the family's 1533-position model. The record is from RNAcentral.